This 253-nucleotide ribosomal RNA is filed under the name uncultured bacterium. RNAcentral's name for it is "partial 16S ribosomal RNA". It matches the Rfam family "Bacterial small subunit ribosomal RNA", at positions 524 to 776 of the family's 1533-position model. The record is from RNAcentral.
UACGUAGGUGGCAAGCGUUGUUCGGAAUUACUGGGCGUAAAGGGCGCGUAGGCGGCCGAUCAAGUCAGGCGUGAAAUUCCCGGGCUCAACCUGGGGGCUGCGCUUGAUACUGAUUGGCUUGAAUGCGGGAGAGGAUAGUGGAAUUCCCAGUGUAGAGGUGAAAUUCGUAGAUAUUGGGAAGAACACCAGUGGCGAAGGCGGCUAUCUGGCCCGUUAUUGACGCUGAGGCGCGAAAGCGUGGGGAGCAAACAGG